Molecule: transfer RNA, 77 nt
Filed under: Desulfosporosinus acidiphilus SJ4
Lineage: Bacteria; Bacillati; Bacillota; Clostridia; Eubacteriales; Desulfitobacteriaceae
Also listed under: 4 other names
Description: tRNA-Ile (GAT) (tRNA-Ile-GAT-1-1, tRNA-Ile-GAT-1-2)
Rfam family: tRNA
About the family: Transfer RNA (tRNA) molecules are approximately 80 nucleotides in length. Their secondary structure includes four short double-helical elements and three loops (D, anti-codon, and T loops).
Source: RNAcentral
GGGCCUGUAGCUCAGCUGGUUAGAGCGCACGCCUGAUAAGCGUGAGGUCGGUGGUUCGAGUCCACCCAGGCCCACCA